Molecule: ribosomal RNA, 468 nt
Filed under: uncultured bacterium
Lineage: Bacteria
Description: partial 16S ribosomal RNA
Rfam family: Bacterial small subunit ribosomal RNA
Source: RNAcentral
GACGAACGCUGGCGGCGUGCUUAACACAUGCAAGUCGAACGGAAAGGCCCUGCUUUUGUGGGGUGCUCGAGUGGCGAACGGGUGAGUAACACGUGAGUAACCUGCCCUUGACUUUGGGAUAACUUCAGGAAACUGGGGCUAAUACCGGAUAGGAGCUCCUGCUGCAUGGUGGGGGUUGGAAAGUUUCGGCGGUUGGGGAUGGACUCGCGGCUUAUCAGCUUGUUGGUUGGGUAGUGGCUUACCAAGGCUUUGACGGGUAGCCGGCCUGAGAGGGUGACCGGGCACAUUGGGACUGAGAUACGGCCCAGACUCCUACGGGAGGCAGCAGUGGGGAAUAUUGCACAAUGGGCGGAAGCCUGAUGCAGCAGCGCCGCGUGCGGGAUGACGGCCUUCGGGUUGUAAACCGCUUUCGCCUGUGACGAAGCGUGAGUGACGGUAAUGGGUAAAGAAGCACCGGCUAACUACGUG